CGUAACACGUAGCUGACCUGCCCCUCCAGCGGGGACAACAGUUCGAAAGGACUGCUAAUACCGCAUGAUUUUCACCUUCCUAGAAGGGGUGAAAUAAAACUUACGGGGCUGAGGGAGGGAGCUGCGGCCCAUCAGGUAGUUGGUAAGGUAACGGCUUACCAAGCCAUCGACGGGUAGGGGGCCUGAGAGGGUGGUCCCCCACACUGGAACUGACAAACGGUCCAG
Molecule: ribosomal RNA, 225 nt
Filed under: uncultured bacterium
Lineage: Bacteria
Description: partial 16S ribosomal RNA
Rfam family: Bacterial small subunit ribosomal RNA
Source: RNAcentral